Molecule: long non-coding RNA, 808 nt
Filed under: Dermacentor andersoni
Lineage: Eukaryota; Metazoa; Arthropoda; Arachnida; Ixodida; Ixodidae
Description: uncharacterized LOC126528631
Source: RNAcentral
CCUUAUAUCGAGGGCAGAAAGAAAAGAAGAAAAGAAGAAAACUAAUUUUUGGAAAGAAAGGUGCAAGGAGCUCCGACAAGACAAUAUGUUCCUUCAAGAACAAGUGAGAUCGCAGCAGGUGCUGCUCAAUUCAAAAUUUUUUAGGUUUGAUGACCUGCAGCACAGCAGACAGGCUGAAACCUAAGCUGUAGAAACUGCCAUAAAGAAGACAACGAAGGCCAAGACCAACCUCGCCCUCGGAACUGAUUUUCCCGUUGACAAAGAUGAACAAAUGGCCAUGCGAAGUGCGACACCCUUAGCGCAGAGUAAGUUGAAGGAUGUAUGUGUUGCUAUGGGCAUGAGAGCUAAAUUCUGGCAUUUCCAUACCUAAUUACAGCUACUGACAGUCUGCACUCAAAAAGGCCCAUUGAGGGUAAGGUUUCAUUUGUGCUCCAUUUCUUACGUGUAAUAACAAUAUGAACUAUUGACUUACAGCCCUCAUAGAGGAACCAGCUUCAGUGACAACUGGUGAGUUACUGGCAUGCUUAUGUGCAGCAUUUGUUGUAAACAUGAACUUUUACUCUUUCUGUGUGCACAGCAAGUGGAGCUGGUGACGAACCAUCUGUGACAGGUAGCCAUGUUUGCAUGUUUCAAUUGUAGGAAAGUUCCAGCACUGCACCCUUCACAAAUGUUGUAAAUAUCUUUCAGGGGACGACUUCGCAUAUUUGCAUGAUGGCUCUGUAAGUAUAUGUUUUGCAUCUAAUCUGGGAAGUUCUAGCACCCUAUGAUCAAAACAAGCAGGUUAUGUUUGAAAGUGAUGAAUGCAAUU